RNAcentral lists this ribosomal RNA (486 nucleotides) under uncultured stramenopile. Its description in RNAcentral is "eukaryotic LSU rRNA". It matches the Rfam family "Eukaryotic large subunit ribosomal RNA", at positions 76 to 659 of the family's 3401-position model. The record is from RNAcentral.
UCCCUCAGUAACUGCGAGUGAAGCUGGAAAAGCUAGAUGAAAAUCUUCGGAAUUGUAGUCUGGAGAAGUAUGGUCAGCCGAUGAUGAUGAGUGAAGUCUUCUGGAAAGGAGCGCCUUGGAGGGUGAUAGCCCCGUUCAUACUUAUCAUUAGAAGCGUACGACCUGCUUUCUACGAGUCGUGUUGUUUGGGACUGCAGCACUAAGUGGGUGGUAAAUUCCAUCUAAAGCUAAAUAUUGGUGGGAGACCGAUAGCGAACAAGUACCGUGAGGGAAAGAUGCAAAGAACUUUGAAAAGAGAGUUAAAUAGUACCUGAAAUUGCUGAAAUGGAACCGAUGGGAAGCAGUGUCGGUGGCGGGUAUUUAUACCUGUCACAAGCCAGGCUUCUUUUCUAGUGCGGGAAAGGCUGAUAAACUAGUUUAGGUUAUCUACGCCGUCGUGCUGGCGAAGGACUCUGACGAAAUGCUUCUCAUCACCCCGUCUUGAAA